Molecule: ribosomal RNA, 398 nt
Filed under: uncultured bacterium
Lineage: Bacteria
Description: bacterial SSU rRNA
Rfam family: Bacterial small subunit ribosomal RNA
Source: RNAcentral
AACGAACGCUGGCGGCGCGCCUAAUACAUGCAAGUCGAGCGAGAAGACGUAGCAAUACGUUUGUAAAGCGGCGAACGGGUGAGGAAUACAUGGGUAACCUACCCUCGAGUGGGGAAGUAACUAGCCGAAGGUUAGCUAAUACCGCGUACGCUCCUUGGACUUCGGUUCAGGGAGGAAAGCGAUACCGCGGGUAUCGCGCUCUUGGAUGGGCUCAUGUCCUAUCAGCUUGUUGGUGAGGUAACGGCUCACCAAGGCUUCGACGGGUAGCUGGUCUGAGAGGACGAUCAGCCACACUGGCACUGCGACACGGGCCAGACUCCUACGGGAGGCAGCAGUAAGGAAUAUUGCGCAAUGGGCGAAAGCCUGACGCAGCGACGCCGCGUGGGGGAGUGAAGGUC